UUACCAUUUUUACUCUGCCGGAUAGUUAUUCUUUUGGUAAUAGAAACACUAACCUUUUUUCUCCCUAGGGAUUUAUUAGUAAGCACGUGUAAUCUUUGGCAAAAGGAAACCUGAAAAUGCCUUUCCCCGAGGACCGGGUGCCGGUCGAUGCCUUCCAAGCCUGCGGUGACCUCGGAGACGCGGCAAAGGAUUCCAGGACACUUUUACGACCGUCAUAAUUGUGAGUUAGAGAUCUCCCAGGCCAAGUGAAAUGAAAUUACGAGAAACUGAAAUCUGUUUUAAUUGGAGCAUUUAUGGAAAAAAGAAGUCAGAGUGGCUGCUUUUUUCCUUUAUGGGACUCUCCGGUUCAGGGCCAUACCUGUGUCCGGAAAGCAGGGCUGGGGAGACUUGGGCCAACACAGAGCCGGGAGGAAAGGAGGGAGAAUGAGGUAGGUGUGUCAGGAAGAAGUCAUUUUCUUAGCUUAAAAAAAAAAAGAAAAAAAAGAUGGAGGUACAGUCUUCAGAGUUCCGCCUCAGUGACCAUGAAACCGAGUCGGCAAAAGCUGAAGGACCCGGCUCCUGAAAGCCUCAUCAGGGCUUGUCAUCGCUCUAAUGAAUAUCAUUUAAAUUGCUUUGUAUAUUGGUGGAGUUUGGAUGUCGAUUUAAUUUGUGCAUGUGUUUGAGUUCUUCUGCUUGGCUAGGCUAACAGAGAAGCAGCCGCUUAAUGAAAACUGAGUUGGUGACAGUGUGAUACGCUCCAACCCAGUCAAAUGGGUUUGCAGGGCUGCCGUGACAGGCCUCGGAAAGAUGCAGCUCCAGCUGAGGGAAGAGAGAGGCGGCUUUCCUGACGCAUGGGGACCUGCCGGGCGGCGUGGCCGGCUCGGUGUCUGUGCUGAAGCUCGCCCGGGCCGGCUUCUCAUGGCUCAGCCCAUCCUUGGCUCCGAGGACACCAGCUCCAGACACAAGAGACCAUGCCUGUCGAACUAGGGGUCCUGGGGGAUCUCCCUUCCCUGUAGUUAUUUGGCACGAGCGAGCCCCGUGGCCCAAGGCCCCCAACUGAGAUGGUAAGAGGGCAUCGUUUUGUUGGGACAGUCACAAAAGCAAAGGCCUCUCCCAUCCCGAGGCGGCAUCCUCUCCGUGUGUGGCAGAAGCUUGGCUCUCUCUGGGUACUCACACGCCCGUUUUCUUCUUGUGUCUUCCCAGCCAUCCUGGGAAGGGGCAGGCUGGGGUUCCUGGGGGGGCCCAUCUGUAGACGUGGCCCGCCCCCGCCCACAGCUGCCAUCAGGAAGCCUCCUCAAGUAUUGUCAACAUUCACAUUAUCAACGGGGUCACAGAGAACCUGGAAAAAAUCACAGAGCAGUCUGCUCUGGGUACUUCCUCUGCUCCCCAGAUCCCCUGCACCCCCACCCUGCACGACUCUAUUUCAAGGGAUGGGAAUGGGCAGUGAGAAUCUCUCAAGGCUGGAGAGAAGAUGUCCUUAAUCGGACAGAAGGCCAGAGACGUGAGGCGUCCACCGGAAAGUCCGCCCCUCCCUUUCUACCUUUAAGACACAAGGGGGCAGGGUGGAGUGGGGCAGGGGAAGGAGGUGGUGCCCUGGGCAUGCACCUGCUGAAGGCUCUGGGAGCAGAUGCAAGGUGGGGGCCAGACGCCCAGAGAAUCACAACUGCAGGGUCGGGGUAGGGGGGACUUUGUCACAACGUCCACUUGGCGGCAGGGGUUAACUUUCUUUUUUUUUUUAAUUUAUUUAUUUUUCUUGGUGGGGGAGAGGUAAUUAGGUUUAUCUCUUUAUUUAGUUUUAGAGGAGGUACUGGGGAUUGAACCCAGGACCUUGUGCACGCUAAGCAUGCGCUCUACCACUUGAGUUAUACCCUCCGCCAAAGUUAACUUUCCUAAACACUGGAACACAUGGUUUUGUCUGGAGAGAAGUUCUCAGGAGCCUCCCCUGUGUGCCGAAGGCGUGGGGCGUGGGGCGGGGGCACUGGCGAGGUCUCCUGGGACUCUGCACAAGCCCCAUCUCAGUGGGCUGGACCCAGAGACAGGAGCACAGCCACCCCUGCCCCGUGCCCCCGCCCAGAAGGAAGAAUGAACUCCUACGACCCGUCCCGAGACGUCCUGGCCUUUAAUGAGUUUGGAGUCAAGCUGGAGGAAGGAGACAAAACAAUAGUGACAAAUAAAUGACAACGUCCGAUUAAGAAUGAGAUUGGGCAGAAAACGUAGUGUGAGAUUACGAGGCUCUGUCCCGAAACUUGAAGUGCCCUGGCUGGGAGCCCAUCUCUGGGCGAGACGGGCUGGCUGGACCUUGAGGGAGGAUAAGAGAGUUUGCGGGAAGGGGAGGGCCUCUCCCUCGUAGGAAACCACUGGAAGCCUGGUCGCUCGGCCGCCUUCUGGUGGCACCUUGAGAUGGCGAGAUGGAUGGCAUAGCUGGUCACAGCCUGAGAAGCACCCGUGAAGCAUCCGAAACGAAAUGUGGCCGUGCCCCUCGCGGUGAUAGGUGUGUUUGAUUCUGUUCCACCUCGGGGGUCUUUCUAGGAUUUCCUACCAUAGGUUCUCGACCAUUUAGGAGUUCUGGUCUCUUUUGAGACAUACAGACUUCUCAGGAAGAUGUGCGUGUGACUGUGUGGUACACCAGACAUUAGCGAAACAUUGUAAACCGACUAGAUUUCAAUAAAAAAGAAACUAU
This is a non-coding RNA of Vicugna pacos (alpaca), 2659 nucleotides long. The record is from RefSeq and is a predicted model, not a curated record. Lineage: Eukaryota; Metazoa; Chordata; Mammalia; Artiodactyla; Camelidae.